RNAcentral lists this small RNA (82 nucleotides) under Streptococcus pneumoniae 06-01-003MEF. RNAcentral describes it as "Streptococcus sRNA SpR14". It matches the Rfam family "Streptococcus sRNA SpR14". The record is from Rfam by way of RNAcentral. Lineage: Bacteria; Bacillati; Bacillota; Bacilli; Lactobacillales; Streptococcaceae.
UUGACACAAAGACACAAAAAAUUCUCUUUUCAUACAUAUUUAAUAUCAAAAAGAAUUUAUCGUUUUUUACGGAUAUGUAUUA